AUGAGGGAGGAGAUUAACAAGAAGAGCAAGGUCUCCUGGUCCAAAUCCCUCGUCAGGAAGUGGUUCAACAUCAAGGGCAAGGCGCAGGAUUUCCACGCGGACUACGACGCCACCACCCAAGGACGGGAUGGUGGUGAUGAACGGAGGACCAGCUGCUCGCAGAGGGACGCAGGCGCUGCCAAGAAAAGCAGAACUGACCGGUCACUGAAGCGGAAUGUUGACCGCGUUCUUAGAUCAAGAAAUGAGUUUGAUGUGUCACGCCUGACAGAAGCUCAAGAUUACAGAAUCUUUGCCUCGACGUGGAAUGUUGGUGGCAAAUGCCCGUCAAGAGGGUUAGAUUUAGAUGACUGGCUCCAUUCUUCACCCCCUGCUGAUAUCUAUGUGCUCGGAUUUCAAGAAAUUGUUCCUUUGAAUGCUGGAAAUGUUCUUGGUACCGAAGACAAUGUUCCAGCAAAGAAGUGGGUAUCACUUAUUAGGAGGACGCUAAACAAGAACCCUGGGCCUAGCAGUCAUGGUGGCUAUCGCACGCCAUCCCCUGUCCCUGAUCCGGUUGUGGAACUAGAUGCUGAUUUUGAGGGAUCAUUGAGAAGACAGGAUAGCUCAUCAUUUUUCCACCGUCGAUCAUUCCAGAACCUUAGUCGGAGUUUAAGGGUUUCAGGAAAUGAUAUGUUCUCACAACCACGAUUGGACCGUAGGUUUAGUGUGUGUGACCCAGUUAACAUUGGAGGCAGACCAAGUGAUUUUGAUGGAAAUUUCCAGUGUAUCGGAUCACCAGGCGAUGAAUAUAUUGAUGAGGAUACAAGUAAUGGAACAUAUUUCUCACCAUUCCCAUAUGGCUAUGGUACUUCAACACCUAUGGAAGAAGAUGAUGAGCAGCCAAAUACUUCUAGGUAUUGUUUGGUUGCCAGCAAACAAAUGGUUGGCAUAUUUCUCACAGUUUGGGUACGCAGUGAAAUAAGAAACGAUAUAAGAAACCUGAAAGUUUCCUGCGUAGGUAGAGGACUAAUGGGUUAUCUUGGAAAUAAGGGUUCUAUAUCAAUAAGCAUGUCUCUGCAUUAUACAACCUUCUGUUUUGUCUGUUGUCAUUUGACCUCUGGGGAAAAGGAGGGGGAUGAAUUGCGCAGAAAUUCUGAUGUCAUGGAGAUCUUAAGAAAGACAAGGUUUCCUCGUGUCCGCGGAUGUGGUGAUGUGAAGUCACCAGAAACAAUUCUUGAGCAUGACCGUAUCUUAUGGCUUGGUGAUCUGAAUUACCGGAUUUCUCUUCCAUACUCGUCAGCAAAAGUUCUGGUUGAAACACAUAACUGGAGGCAACUGUUGGAGAGAGAUCAGCUUCGUAUACAGCGGAGAUGUGGACGUGUUUUCCCGGGAUGGAAAGAAGGAAGAAUUUAUUUUCCUCCAACAUAUAAAUACUCUUUCAACUCAGACCGGUAUUCUGGUUAUGGUGUGCGUCCCAAGGAAAAGAGGCGAACGCCAGCUUGGUGUGAUCGUAUUUUGUGGCAUGGUACCGGCCUCAUUCAGUUAUCAUAUGUCCGAGGAGAAUCACGCUUCUCCGAUCACAGACCAGUGUACAGUAUUUUCAUGGCGGAGGUUGAAAUUCUCCACCAGAGGAGAAGAAACCUGGGCUAUUUCAGCUCUAGAGUUGAGGUGGAAGAGCUGUUGCCAUAUUCUCACAGCCAUGGAAACUUAAAGUUCUACUAA
This 1698-nucleotide ribosomal RNA is filed under the name Triticum aestivum (bread wheat). RNAcentral's name for it is "partial small subunit ribosomal RNA". Lineage: Eukaryota; Viridiplantae; Streptophyta; Magnoliopsida; Poales; Poaceae. The record is from RNAcentral.